GUUUGUUGAAAAUCACCCACGGCUUUGGCCAUAGUCGUGGGUGAGAUUCGGCGCCCAGAAUGUCCAGGGGCCUUAGCUCACCGCCCGCUGCCGGUGUGGGAGGGUGAAACCCAGGCCCCGACACCC
Small nucleolar RNA from Chinchilla lanigera (long-tailed chinchilla), 126 nucleotides. The record is from Ensembl. NCBI's taxonomy places the organism in Eukaryota, Metazoa, Chordata, Mammalia, Rodentia, Chinchillidae.